UACCAUGCAAGUCGAGCGGAGAAGGGAGCUUGCUCCUGGAUUCAGCGGCGGACGGGUGAGUAAUGCCUAGGAAUCUGCCUGGUAGUGGGGGAUAACGUCCGGAAACGGGCGCUAAUACCGCAUACGUCCUGAGGGAGAAAGUGGGGGAUCUUCGGACCUCACGCUAUCAGAUGAGCCUAGGUCGGAUUAGCUAGUUGGUGGGGUAAAGGCCUACCAAGGCGACGAUCCGUAACUGGUCUGAGAGGAUGAUCAGUCACACUGGAACUGAGACACGGUCCAGACUCCUACGGGAGGCAGCAGUGGGGAAUAUUGGACAAUGGGCGAAAGCCUGAUCCAGCCAUGCCGCGUGUGUGAAGAAGGUCUUCGGAUUGUAAAGCACUUUAAUUGGGAGGAAGGGCAGUAGUAAUACCUUGC
RNAcentral lists this ribosomal RNA (414 nucleotides) under Pseudomonas aeruginosa. Its description in RNAcentral is "bacterial SSU rRNA". It matches the Rfam family "Bacterial small subunit ribosomal RNA", at positions 52 to 468 of the family's 1533-position model. The record is from RNAcentral. Lineage: Bacteria; Pseudomonadati; Pseudomonadota; Gammaproteobacteria; Pseudomonadales; Pseudomonadaceae.